CCUCUUCACCGUGAAGUCCCAGAGCUCGCCGUACUUCUCAUUGAAGUCCCAGAUGUCCAUGGAGUUGUACUCAGCUAUCAACUUGUCACGAGCCGCUCGAUCCAUGUUAUAUAUCUGAGGCUCAAAAUUAUGAGGCUUAUCCGGCUUCCCCAUCUCAAUGGCACAGAAUACGACGACAAAGAUAGCUGCUCCUAUGUACAAAUACUCACCCUGCCAUGGACAUUUCAAUCAAGGAGUUACAUCUCAAAUAAGCAUCAGAUUGUUAGACCUCAGAAACUACUCGGCAAAAGUUCUCAAAAAAAUGAUCUGCUAAAAUCAUGUCUAGCACAGAAGAAAACCAUUAGCAUAAUAAGCUAUUUGCAAAAAAAAAAAAAAAAGGAAUUUUGCAGUUAAUUGAGAGACUAAUAUAUGGUCAUGUCAUAAGUAUAUGCUUGGAUGUGUUCAGGAGAUUUAACAGCAAAACACAGUUUUCAAACAUAUCGUGGAAUAAUGAUCAAGAUAAACACAUUCGUUAUCAAUUCAAACAACAUUGUUUAGGAAGUGCUUCUGGAGCAUAUUCUAAUUAAAUUGAAAUAUGAGAAUUUCUGCCAAUAUAAAUACAAAAUUUCACAUUUCAAAAGGAGUCGAUGAACAGCUGAAGUGAAAAUUUGGGAAUCUAGAGAAAACAUCGAUGAAAAUGUUUAUUUCAGUCAGUUCUUCUUAAUUAUCUAACCCUGCUGAAACCUUCAAGAAAUUCAAAACCAACAUGAGGAUACUGAAUGUUUCAUAUAAACAUGUGACUGUGUGAGAAUCCCAGCUCACAAGAAAAAGAGAUUCAAGUUUUAUUGAGGAAUAAAAUGUGCUUUCACAUCUCAUGCUUCAUUUGUGCUGCAGCACAAAUUGAGUCUUAAACACAAUUUCUCCGUAAGAUAUUGAGAAAUGAGAAUUUAUCAAUAGCAUGUGUUAAGCAGCAGGAGACUACUUAACUGGUACAUGGUAAGCCAAACCAGCUGUGACUGCAGGGAGAAACAACCAAGAAAUAAGCCCUGCAAGGAAUCGACAUGACAAAACUUGGUGAUUCAACAUGAG
RNAcentral lists this long non-coding RNA (1068 nucleotides) under Musa acuminata (dwarf banana). RNAcentral describes it as "long non-coding RNA (MACU_LNC001541)". The record is from RNAcentral. Lineage: Eukaryota; Viridiplantae; Streptophyta; Magnoliopsida; Zingiberales; Musaceae.